GACGCGAGGAAACGGCAUAGCUCGGUAGAUAGCGCCCUACCAUUGAGACCAGAGAUAGCGGUACUCCGAGUCAGCCUAGCUAGGGGUGUAGGAAAGAAGAAAAAUAAUAUUGUAAUAAUCUUGAUUGUAUUUGGAAGAGAAGAAAAUGAAAAUGUAAUAUGUAAAAAGCAUGUGAUGUGAAAGGUUGUAAAAACUUAAUUAUUUUAUGUUUUUGAUACUUCCUUAUGCAAUCUCUGAUUGAAAUAUGUUCAUGAUUGGAACCUCGUGCUUUGUAUGGAUUGCGACGCCUAGGACGUACACGGGAAACUCUGU
This 312-nucleotide long non-coding RNA is filed under the name Ananas comosus (pineapple). Its description in RNAcentral is "long non-coding RNA (ACOM_LNC030554)". Lineage: Eukaryota; Viridiplantae; Streptophyta; Magnoliopsida; Poales; Bromeliaceae. The record is from RNAcentral.